RNAcentral lists this ribosomal RNA (197 nucleotides) under uncultured soil bacterium. RNAcentral describes it as "partial 16S ribosomal RNA". It matches the Rfam family "Bacterial small subunit ribosomal RNA", at positions 26 to 226 of the family's 1533-position model. The record is from RNAcentral.
AGAUUGAACGCUGGCGGGAUGCUUUACACAUGCAAGUCGAACGGCAGCGCGGACUUCGGUCUGGCGGCGAGUGGCGAACGGGUGAGUAAUAUAUCGGAACGUACCCAGUAGCGGGGGAUAACUACGCGAAAGCGUGGCUAAUACCGCAUACGCCCUACGGGGGGAAGGGGGGAUCGCAAGACCUCUCACUAUUGGAG